This 164-nucleotide ribosomal RNA is filed under the name Ornithoboea wildeana. RNAcentral's name for it is "5.8S ribosomal RNA". It matches the Rfam family "5.8S ribosomal RNA". From Rfam's summary of the family: 5.8S ribosomal RNA (5.8S rRNA) is a component of the large subunit of the eukaryotic ribosome. It is transcribed by RNA polymerase I as part of the 45S precursor that also contains 18S and 28S rRNA. Functionally, it is thought that 5.8S rRNA may be involved in ribosome translocation. Lineage: Eukaryota; Viridiplantae; Streptophyta; Magnoliopsida; Lamiales; Gesneriaceae. The record is from RNAcentral.
AUAACGACUCUCGGCAACGGAUAUCUCGGCUCUCGCAUCGAUGAAGAACGUAGCGAAAUGCGAUACUUGGUGUGAAUUGCAUAAUCCCGUGAACCAUCGAGUCUUUGAACGCAAGUUGCGCCCGAGGCCACCAGGCCGAGGGCACGUCUGCCUGGGCGUCGCGC